This 467-nucleotide ribosomal RNA is filed under the name uncultured bacterium. Its description in RNAcentral is "partial 16S ribosomal RNA". It matches the Rfam family "Bacterial small subunit ribosomal RNA", at positions 28 to 507 of the family's 1533-position model. The record is from RNAcentral.
GAUGAACGCUGGCGGCGUGCUUAACACAUGCAAGUCGAACGGUGAAGCAGAGCUUGCUCUGUGGAUCAGUGGCGAACGGGUGAGUAACACGUGAGCAACCUGCCCCCGACUCUGGGUUAAGCGCUGGAAACGGCGUCUAAUACUGGAUAUGAGCUGCGACCGCAUGGUCAGCAGUUGGAAAGAUUUUUCGGUCUGGGAUGGGCUCACGGCCUAUCAGCUUGUUGGUGAGGUAAUGGCUCACCAAGGCGUCGACGGGUAGCCGGCCUGAGAGGGUGACCGGCCACACUGGGACUGAGACACGGCCCAGACUCCUACGGGAGGCAGCAGUGGGGAAUAUUGCACAAUGGGCGAAAGCCUGAUGCAGCAACGCCGCGUGAGGGAUGACGGCCUUCGGGUUGUAAACCUCUUUUAGCAGGGAAGAAGCGAAAGUGACGGUACCUGCAGAAAAAGCGCCGGCUAACUACGUG